This is a long non-coding RNA of Pongo pygmaeus (Bornean orangutan), 2544 nucleotides long. RefSeq lists it as uncharacterized. The transcript is spliced from 2 exons. Lineage: Eukaryota; Metazoa; Chordata; Mammalia; Primates; Hominidae. The record is from RefSeq and is a predicted model, not a curated record.
GGCCCGCCCCCGGACGUGACGAAAGGGGGUGCGCGGACCGAGGGGGGCCUGGCGCGCCCAGCCGCCGUUCCGAGUUGGUGGGGGUCUGUGUUGUGGGUCCGGGAUGAAGCGAGCGUGGAAAGGUGCCGGGUUCUCGAACGCUGUUUCUGUCCACUGCCACCGUCCUCCCCGUUCUGGGAGUGGGAUUAAGUCGUGUCUGUGGGUCUCGCCUUCUCCGGAUUCUGCAGCUUGGGGCCGAUUCCUCGGUCUCUACCUCCUGUUGCAGGUCCUUAAUCAUUCAACGGAGACAUGAUAACUUUAUUGGAUGGAGCAAUACUUCUUGCUAAGCAGCAUAUACACACCCAGUGACCUUGCAUGAAGAAGCAGCCUGUCUGCAGAAGAUUGCGUCUCAUCUAUACAAAGCAGGAGUGAUGUUGUCAAUGUGUGUGUGUGCAUGCAUUUAUGUAUCUGUAUGCUUGUGCAGAGAGGGGAAGAUGGGGGACGGGAUGUGGCUUUGUUACUUAGCUUGCUUGAUUUUUAUCCACAGUUAUUAAGAGGUAAAAUAUUGUAGCUCAACUGCUAGAAGUGGUCGUUUGCUUUACAGAGAGGAAAAUCUCUGCCCCAUUACCAUGGCUUGUACUUCCAGCCCCAAAAGGCAAAAAGAGAGAGCACGUAACUCAGUGGAAUCAAUAGCAUGACCAGAAAGUCAAUUCAGUCAUAUGAUGGUGGAUCAGUAUCAUCAUUGUAAAGGAGAUGAGAUCACUGUACUGUUAGAUGCAUCACUCUAACUUUCCCCCAUCACUGUGGAAAAAGGAGGGAAAAAAGCCCUCAAUCAUAAUAGGAAAGGCAAACAGUUUUUCAAACUUACAAACAUAUGUACAUGUCUUCCUCUGUAUCAUUUUAUAUAUGUUGUUUUUAUGUAUGUACCUGUACAAAAAGAUGUAAGUAUCACUUAACCUUGAGUAAUAUAAUACGUGUGAAUUCUAAUUAAUAGGUUUUAGUUCCACUAAGUAUUAAUAAUUAACGGUAACUUCGUUGAGUGUGAGAAUUCCACAAGGUUGCGUUAGAAUUCUGAAUGACAUUUUGUUUUUGCUUUAUUGGGCUUUGAUAUGUCAGACAAGAGAAUUCAACUUUUCUCCUGUGUGAAUGAAUUCAAUAGUCUGUUGAGAGAGAUGCCAGUUUUUAGGUUGCAUCCACCAUUUUUAUUUUUAGCUCCAUCUGUUGUCUUUUAUCAAGUUGCUGUUAAAACUCUGAUAAAAUACUUGGUUUGUAGCAUUGAUAUUGUCCCCACCAGCUUCCCUAAAAUGAGCUCUCCAGUUCUAAUCCCCAAACAUGUUUGAAUUUGUCUCCAGUUGACAUCCAAAAGUCUCAUCUUCCUGGAUUUCCUUCCUCCUCUGGCCCCCUCUGCCGUUUCCCACUCUCCCAGUUCCUAGCAUCUCCCUGACCCUUGGGUUAGAGCCCAGAUGGACCACUGAAUCCAACCUGGGAAAAUGACAGGAAGUACGUGCAUUCUUCAAAGUGAUGCAUUUGCUGUUAUUGAGCAUCUAUUUUAACAUAACUCGGAUGCAGUAGUAUUAAUUUGUAUAUGAAUAUUUCAUUUAAUAAUAAUUAUUGAGACUGUCCUCUAUAUCAGAGGUAAGCAUAUACAGUACAGCCUGCCCUUUAACUCCUUUUUCCUCACAUAACUCAAUUUUCUGUUGAUUAAAUGUUAAACUGAGAAUACAAGUAUACUUGUUAGAUUUGGCUACUUAUUGAAAGCUGCAGUUUUGGCUAGGCACAGUGUGGCUUAUACCUGUAAUCCCAGCACAUUGGAAGGCCGAGGUGGGAGGAUGGCUUGAGACCAGGAGUUUGGGACCAGCCUGGGCAACAUAGCAAGACCCCAUCUCUACAAAAAACAACAAAUAAAAAAAUGAAAAAAAACUGCAGUUUAAAUGUGACUCUAAUCACACUAUUAAACAGUGUACAUUCUUGUAACUAAUACAGAAGUUUGGUUCAUAACAAAUUUAGUUAUUAAUAAAUGAGGCCUCUAUAUGGUAUUCAAAGAAAAUGCUUGUGGAAUGAAAGACAUCUUUUGUGAAUAUACAGUGAGUGGAGUCUCCAAGUCUGUUACUUCUUUAUAGUUCUCUCUCCAACAAAAUAUUAUCUCUGUGGAUGACAGUAGAUCUUCAAUAUCUUGCUCUUACCUAUCUUGAUUAUGUUUAUCCCCAAUUGGUUUCAGUUUCCCUCCUCUGCAAGCAAUUGUCUUUAUUUCAUCAUUCAGAUAGACUGAGCCUUUAGAAAGCUGAUGGAUCAACAGAAGCCAGAAAAUUAUAUAUGCACAUUGUACGUUUAAUACUGGUGUGCAAUCUGAUUACUGUAAGCACAAUGUUUUUAAAAAAAUCUGUUCAAACAGAGUUUAUAUGAAUAGCGACCUUUGUUCUCCCAGGCUUACUUGAGUGGAAAAAAUCCUUUUCAGGCUGUAAAAGAACUUGUGGUACAAUAUUGAUUAAUCAGUAAUGCAAAUUAGCUUUGAGUUUACCAUUCAAAUGUGGAAAAAUAUCUUUGAAUAAAAAAGUGAGACCCUCA